This 72-nucleotide transfer RNA is filed under the name Candidatus Geothermarchaeota archaeon. Its description in RNAcentral is "tRNA-Ser". It matches the Rfam family "tRNA". From Rfam's summary of the family: Transfer RNA (tRNA) molecules are approximately 80 nucleotides in length. Their secondary structure includes four short double-helical elements and three loops (D, anti-codon, and T loops). Lineage: Archaea; Thermoproteati; Candidatus Geothermarchaeota. The record is from RNAcentral.
GGGCCCGUAGCUCAGCCAGGUAGAGCACCGGAGGGAACCCGGGGGUCUGGGGUUCAAUUCCCCACGGGCCCG